RNAcentral lists this small RNA (127 nucleotides) under Paenibacillus sp. P22. RNAcentral's name for it is "sraL Hfq binding RNA". Lineage: Bacteria; Bacillati; Bacillota; Bacilli; Caryophanales; Paenibacillaceae. The record is from RNAcentral.
AGAGCCUUCAAGCUGAAACCCAAAAAGAAGCCUUCCCCGGCGGGAAGGCUUCUUUUUGGUUGUGCUGCUGAACUGCAGCCGACUGGACAAAAAAAGAGAGACAGGCGGCUCAUGCCGCCUGUCUCUC